This is a long non-coding RNA of Vigna radiata var. radiata (mung bean), 1887 nucleotides long. RefSeq lists it as uncharacterized. The record is from RefSeq and is a predicted model, not a curated record. NCBI's taxonomy places the organism in Eukaryota, Viridiplantae, Streptophyta, Magnoliopsida, Fabales, Fabaceae. The transcript has 3 exons.
CCCUGGCCAGAGAUACAUAGUAAGUUGACCCUGUAACUUUUUUUUCUUGUGUCUGAUAAGUAGUUGUCUGAAUCGCUUCACUAAUGAGAAAAGAAAAACAAUUAUGAUAAGUCUUUAUCUAAUUCCCUUGGGAUUGUUUCUUGUCCAUUUAGAUUAAGUUAAAACUUGAACUGCAUUCCUCACUGACAGUGCAGGACCUGCAUUUAGUUUCAAAAGUAAAUUCUCAUUUUGUGUGCCAAAUUAAGUUAGACUAAGAAUGAUUAAUCCUACUUAUCAAUUGAAAGGCCUGGAAAAGGAUGUUAUCAUUUUCUAAUAAAAAUAAUAUUUAUUUUGUGCCAAGUGCAUGGUUUACAGUCUAGAGUUGGUAGAAUCUUAGGGAGUUGAACCUGUGAGACUAUAAGUCACUAACUGAUUAACAGGAUUGAUUCACGUGAAUUCAUGUUUAGGCACAAGACAUUACAGGUUGGAUUUUGCACAUUUCUUUUUCAGGUUACUGCUUUAUUGGUUUGGUCUUAUGUUUGCAUUUGUGGGCUUUCCUUCAGGUCAUAUUGAGACUGAAAAGAAGUUUGGUGUACUUUCUACCUUAUUUGAAUAUUCGAUACGAGUUGCCAAACCAUUUGCCUUGAAGCCCUCCAGGCCCGUGAGAAUGCUAUAGACACUUACACAGUUUUUGAUGGUUAUGCGAAGAUGCUUACAAUUUUUAUUCCACUUCUGGUGGAUGAGAGUUCAUUUUUUGCACACUUCAUGUGCUUUGAAGUCUCUACACUCGUUCCUCCUGGAGGUGUUGUUUUAAAGUGUUAUUGCUAGUGUGUCUCAAACAGUGUGCAAUCUGUGUUUGUUGUGAUCUAUUUGGGAAUAUUUGUUGUUUUUGAUUUGGUGCAGUGUAAAAGAUGAGCGUGAGCGUGAACCUGUGAUAUAAACAAAUGCCUUAGCACAUCUUGUGGACGCUCUGAAAUUGCAAGGAGGUUUGAAUUAAUGACAAAUAUCAAGCAUGUGCAACCAAGAAAAAGGGAGUUUCUUUUAUAUCAAAUGCUUCUGAUAUGCUUAAAUUAUGUUGUAUGGCCUGUAAUUGAUAGGAUUAUAAUUGUUUGAUCUGCUGAAUUAGUGGAAUUGUUUGUGCACUAUCAGUUGAGAUAUUAUUUUGAGAGCAAUAAGGAUCAAUUUUGUGCAUCAAGUUUACAAGACCGAGAAAGGGAGGUUCAAAUUGCUUUAUCUUUUUGUGCAAACUGGUUUGGUUAAGGGUGUAAGUGUAAACAAUCUUGUUCAUUUGUGUUGUAGGAUUGGAACAUCAAGCUUUAUGAUGAGAUCGAGCUAGUUGACGGCCACAUUUUGAUAUAGUGAAGUGUUGCAGCAGUAGACCGUACCAAGAAAGUAGCAUAGCUUUUGUUUUUUAUUUUUCUUAUAUUUGAUUUGUAAUGGGUUUGUGUCAGCGCAUUGUUACUCUUAGUUUUAGCUUUGGUAUGUAAAAGGCCUUUUAUAAAGUCCAAGUGUUUUGAAGGAGUUCUUAGCACUUUUUCCAACUCUUGGCAAUUUUGAUUGUUCUUUUCAAAUUUGACAUAGUUAGACAGGUGAGUGUGUCUUGUUAGCCAAAGGUACAAGCCUUAUCAUAGGAGUAGAAUUUUAUAUUGUUUGAUUGUCUUUUGUAUUUUGUGAUCAUGAUUUAGGGGUCAUUAGAGUUCGUUAAUUGUUUGUGUUUGUUUGUUAGUUGAAUCUUUUGAUUUUAAAAGUAAUUUUAUUUUAAAGGGUAUGUGUUCGUGUGGGUGUGUGCAUGUAUAUGUGUCUAUGCUUGCAAGAGUGUGGGAGUGUGUUUGGGUGGGUGUGUGUAUAUGUUUGCGGGAGUGUGCAUGUGUGCAUGUGUGUGUGUGUGUGAAUGUGCGUAAUAUGUAU